GUCGCCAUCGUCUAGUCUGGUUCAGGACACCGGCCUUUCACGUCGGCAACAGGGGUUCAAAUCCCCUUGGCGACG
Molecule: transfer RNA, 75 nt
Filed under: Acidobacteriota bacterium
Lineage: Bacteria; Pseudomonadati; Acidobacteriota
Also listed under: 1 other name
Description: Acidobacteria bacterium (hot springs metagenome) tRNA-Glu
Rfam family: tRNA
About the family: Transfer RNA (tRNA) molecules are approximately 80 nucleotides in length.
Source: RNAcentral